CAACCUGCCCAUCACUUGGGGAUAACCUUGCGAAAGUAAGACUAAUACCCAAUGACGUCUCUAGAAGACAUCUGAAAGAGAUUAAAGAUUUAUCGGUGAUGGAUGGGGAUGCGUCUGAUUAGCUUGUUGGCGGGGUAACGGCCCACCAAGGCAACGAUCAGUAGGGGUUCUGAGAGGAAGGUCCCCCACAUUGGAACUGAGACACGGUCCAAACUCCUACGGGAGGCAGCAGUGAGGAAUAUUGGUCAAUGGACGAGAGUCUGAACCAGCCAAGUAGCGUGCAGGAUGACGGCCCUAUGGGUUGUAAACUGCUUUUAUAAGGGAAUAAAGUUAGUCUCGUGAGACUUUUUGCAUGUACCUUAUGAAUAAGGACCGGCUAAUUCCGUGCCAGCAGCCGCGGUAAUACGGAAGGUCCGGGCGUUAUCCGGAUUUAUUGGGUUUAAAGGGAGCGUAGGCCGGGGAUUAAGCGUGUUGUGAAAUGUAGAUGCUCAACAUCUGCACUGCAGCGCGAACUGGUUUCCUUGAGUACGCACAAAGUGGGCGGAAUUCGUGGUGUAGCGGUGAAAUGCUUAGAUAUCACGAAGAACUCCGAUUG
RNAcentral lists this ribosomal RNA (595 nucleotides) under uncultured Bacteroidota bacterium. Its description in RNAcentral is "bacterial SSU rRNA". It matches the Rfam family "Bacterial small subunit ribosomal RNA", at positions 122 to 715 of the family's 1533-position model. Lineage: Bacteria; Pseudomonadati; Bacteroidota. The record is from RNAcentral.